UUUUUGACGCUGAAAAGAAGAGUAGUAGAAAAAAACUGCAAAGAGAGCCUUUGGGUGGUGUAAAAAGGUCAGUUGUUUUUUAUGAAACACAUCUUGGAGUUGCAUUUUUGAAUAAAGUAAAAAAUGCCGGGUUAGCCCGUUAUCGCUGCGGUCAUUGUUGGAUGGCUAGACAAAAAGGCUGACAGCCAGAGGAGAAAUAAACAAUAAACUUGUGAAAUAAUCAACAAGCCCACCUCUUUUGUUAGCUUGAUCGCAUAAGGUCUAUUAUUGCAUAGAUAAAUUGAGGUGGAACCACGCGUGUUAGCGUCCUCUGA
This 314-nucleotide non-coding RNA is filed under the name Enterococcus dispar. RNAcentral's name for it is "T-box sequence". It matches the Rfam family "T-box leader". From Rfam's summary of the family: Uncharged tRNA acts as the effector for transcription antitermination of genes in the T-box leader family. The record is from RNAcentral. Lineage: Bacteria; Bacillati; Bacillota; Bacilli; Lactobacillales; Enterococcaceae.